Molecule: long non-coding RNA, 2226 nt
Organism: Gopherus flavomarginatus (Mexican gopher tortoise)
Lineage: Eukaryota; Metazoa; Chordata; Testudines; Testudinidae
Exons: 3
Source: RefSeq, a predicted model, not a curated record
CUUUCCAAAAACUAAACCCUCCAAUUAUCCGGACUCCUAUAUAAAGAACUCCUUGUCCAAUUAAUACCAGACUUCCAGGUAAAAAUAUUUCCCUGACUAUACACAAAACAUUUUUGGUGGAGUGACUGGGGGCGGGGGGGAAGUAGAGAUCAAAUCUGAAAAUCAGAGAACUAGUCACAACUUUAAUAUGAAGUCAAAUCACUGUAAGUUGAUCAAAUAUGGGAGUAAGCAUUGAUUCAAAAAUCAGUUUUAAUCUGAGGUUUCACUUUGUUGACGUUGAAACAAAGCUAAUUUUUAUUUCUUUCCCUCCAUCCACCUUACUCUCCACCAAUUAAUUUACUGGCUCUCUAAAAAAGCUUCUCACUUCAAGUUUGUUUGCAAAAAUGGGACUAUUAUAUCAAAUAAAAGGAAUAUGCCAUUAUUACAACUGACUAAAUGGAGGACAAGCAGGGUAUAAUUUAUCUCAAAUUGAUUUAAUUUUACAUCCCUUGAAGUAUCCUUUUAUAUUCAGAUAAUUAAAAUCAAUUUCCUGGAUAUCAUUUGAGGGAGUUUAACUUCAUUCCAUUAAAUAAGUCAAGAUCAGUCAUUUUUCUAAAUAGCUUUAGAUGACAUUUUAUUACACUCUGGUCUCUUGGUGGAACAGCUCUUUGAUAGUGUUUGUAACAAGUUUCUCAUUUUCACUCAUUCAAUUUAAUUUAGACAAUUCAUUUGCACUGUCUUUAAAUGAAUACUUUAUCUAAAUGUAGCCCAUCAAAUUAUUCUGUUCCCAAAUCUCUAUUUUGAUUGUGCUGCAAAUUUAAUUCAAUCCUCCUCUCUGGAAAGAAUCUACUCUUUUCUGAAAUUGACAGAGGAAAUAUUAACACUAAGUUAUCUCAUUUUAAUGUUUUUUGGCAGAUUCUUCCCAAAAUUGCAAGGUCUUCUUUCCCUUUUUCCUUCUUAAAGGAUGCAUUCUAAGAACCUAUCAAGACUAGGAAAAUGAGGUAUGCCAUUUGCUGAUGUGAUGCACUUUUAGUUCUUCAGCUGUGGGUUAUAUUGCAGAUAGACUAUGAAACUGUAUUUUAACCUGAUCUCCAUUUUUACUUAAGAUCUUUCAAAGUCUGUUAGAAGUUGUCUAGAUUUUUUGAAACUGUGGCAGGACUCCUCUGAGCCUUCAAGAAAAAACCCCUGCAAUACUGCUGAAAUUCUGUUGACUCAUGAAACCAGACACUGCAUGAGGAGGAGGAGCAUAACCCUGACUGAUCCCAAUUUAAAAAUAAGGAAGAAUGAGUAUAACUUAAAACUUGGAAACAUGACUUUAUUUGCCUUCUCUAAAAGAUUAACAGUCCUUUUGGUAAAGUUGGCAUUAGAGUGAAGAAUGAACAGAAAAGUUAUAAAUACAUGAAAUAACUCAAUCUAGUCUUAAUUAACACCAUGAAAGUAAUUACUCUUGUGGUCUGAGUGAUGUUUUGUGAUUGAGGAGCUGGGAUGGAAAGGUGGCAAAGCACUUUCCUAGGAACACAGAUAUUGCCAUACGGAAUCAGACCAAUGAUCUGUGUAAUCCAGAUCCUGUCUCCACAAGUGGCCAGUACUAGCAGUCUACACCAGUCAGAAUAACCUGGAAUAAUAUGGAAUAACCACAGGGGAAGUGUCUUCAUAUCCCCCUGAUAAUUAAAGGCUGACUUAUGCCUGAAGCAUUAGGAUUAUGUCCCACUCUAAACUUCUUGGUGUCUUUUUUUUUUUUAAAUAAAUAUAGCCUUACUAUUGCAGCUCUGGACGGUCUUAUUAGCCAUAUAAAUCUCUAGCUGUUUCUGGAACCCUGCUAAGCUUUUGGCCUCAAUGAUACCUUAUGACAGUGAGUCCACAAGCUAAUUGUUCACUGCGAGAAGUAUUUCCUCCUAUCAGUUUUAAAUUUGCUACCUUUCAGUUUCACUAAAUGUCCCCAACUCAGUCUGACUCUGCUUAGGCUUCUGGAAAGAUCUCGUUCAAACCAGGUAUGCUCAAAGUCUUACCACAGAGUCACUCCCAUGCUCAAAUUUCAUAACUUCAUUUGCACGGCCACUUUGUCUAAUCCUAGCAACUUGAUAUAUAUCCUUACAGUCUGCCUGCUCCAUGUUUCAACAUCACAUAGUCUUUGCAAAGAGUGUUAUUGGUUUGAAAGAAAAGUUCCAGCCCUGCAACUUUACAUGAACUGAAAUGAAUUUCAUAUGUGAUUAUGUCAAUAAAGGAAGCAGAUAUAACAGUUCUAAA